ACACUCCUACGGGAGGCAGCAGUGGGGAAUUUUGGACAAUGGGCGAAAGCCUGAUCCAGCAAUGCCGCGUGAGUGAAGAAGGCCUUCGGGUUGUAAAGCUCUUUUGUCAGGGAAGAAACGGUGAAAGCUAAUAUCUUUUGCUAAUGACGGUACCUGAAGAAUAAGCACCGGCUAACUACGUGCCAGCAGCCGCGGUAAUACGUAGGGUGCAAGCGUUAAUCGGAAUUACUGGGCGUAAAGCGUGCGCAGGCGGUUUUGUAAGUCUGAUGUGAAAUCCCCGGGCUCAACCUGGGAAUUGCAUUGGAGACUGCAAGGCUAGAAUCUGGCAGAGGGGGGUAGAAUUCCACGUGUAGCAGUGAAAUGCGUAGAUAUGUGGAGGAACACCGAUGGCGAAGGCAGCCCCCUGGGUCGAGAUUGACGCUCAUGCACGAAAGCGUGGGGAGCAAACAGGAUUAGAAACCCGUGUAGUCC
This 471-nucleotide ribosomal RNA is filed under the name uncultured organism. Its description in RNAcentral is "partial 16S ribosomal RNA". It matches the Rfam family "Bacterial small subunit ribosomal RNA", at positions 333 to 796 of the family's 1533-position model. The record is from RNAcentral.